Molecule: ribosomal RNA, 871 nt
Filed under: uncultured archaeon
Lineage: Archaea
Description: bacterial SSU rRNA
Rfam family: Archaeal small subunit ribosomal RNA
Source: RNAcentral
UUCCGGUUGAUCCUGCCAGAGGUCACUGCUAUCGGGGUUCGAUUAAGCCAUGCGAGUCGAGAGGGUUCGGCCCUCGGCGUACUGCUCAGUAACACGUGGAUAACCUGCCCUAAGGAAGGGGAUACCCCCCGGGAAACUGGGGAUAAUACCCUAUAGGUUACAGAUGCUGGAAUGCUCUGUACCCGAAAGUUCCGGCGCCUUAGGAUGGAUCUGCGGCCGAUUAGGUUGUUGUCGGGGUAACGGCCCAACAAGCCAGUAAUCGGUACGGGUUGUGGGAGCAAGAGCCCGGAGUUGGAUUCUGAGACACGAAUCCAGGCCCUACGGGGCGCAGCAGGCGCGAAAACUUUACAAUGCGGGCAACCGUGAUAAGGGAACCUCGAGUGCCUGUAUAUGCAGGCUGUCUGGGUGUCUAAAACACACCUAAAGAAAGGGCCGGGCAAGACCGGUGCCAGCCGCCGCGGUAAUACCGGCGGCUCGAGUGGUGGCCACUUUUAUUGGGCUUAAAGCGUUCGUAGCUGGGUUAUUAAGUCCCUUGGGAAAUCCGACGGCUUAACCGUCGGGCGUCUAAGGGAUACUGGCAAUCUUGGAACCGGGAGAGGUGAGGGGUACUUCGGGGGUAGGAGUGAAAUCCUGUAAUCCUCGAGGGACCACCUGUGGCGAAGGCGCCUCACCAGAACGGCUUCGACAGUGAGGGACGAAAGCUGGGGGAGCAAACCGGAUUAGAUACCCGGGUAGUCCCAGCCGUAAACGAUGUGCGUUAGGUGUAUCGGUGACCACGAGUCACCGAGGUGCCGAAGGGAAACCGUGAAACGUACCGCCUGGGAAGUACGGUCGCAAGGCUGAAACUUAAAGGAAUUGGCGGGGGAACACC